RNAcentral lists this ribosomal RNA (497 nucleotides) under uncultured bacterium. RNAcentral describes it as "partial 16S ribosomal RNA". It matches the Rfam family "Bacterial small subunit ribosomal RNA", at positions 28 to 507 of the family's 1533-position model. The record is from RNAcentral.
GACGAACGCUGGCGGCGUGCCUAAUACAUGCAAGUAGAACGCUGAAGAGAGGAGCUUGCUCUUCUUGGAUGAGUUGCGAACGGGUGAGUAACGCGUAGGUAACCUGCCUUGUAGCGGGGGAUAACUAUUGGAAACGAUAGCUAAUAUCGCAUAACAAUGGAUGACACAUGUCAUUUAUUUGAAAGGGGCAAUUGCUGCACUACAAGAUGGACAUGCGUUGUAUUAGCUAGUAGGUGAGGAAAUGGCUCACCUAGGCGACGAUACAUAGCCGACCUGAGAGGGUGAUCGGCCACACUGGGACUUAGACACGGCCCAGACUCCUUCGGGAGGCAGCAGUAGGGAAUCUUCGGCAAUGGGGGCAACCCUUACCGAGCAACGCCGCGUGAGUGAAGAAGGUUUUCGGAUCGUAAAGCUCUGUUGUAAGUCAAGAACGGGUGUGAGAGUGGAAAGUUCACACUGUGACGGUAGCUUACCAGAAAGCGACGGCUAACUACGUG